CGGGGCGUAGCGCAGUUCGGCAGCGCGCACGGAUCGGGACCGUGAGGUCGGGAGUUCAAAUCUCCCCGCCCCGACUA
This 77-nucleotide transfer RNA is filed under the name Anaerolineaceae bacterium 4572_32.2. RNAcentral's name for it is "tRNA-Pro". It matches the Rfam family "tRNA". From Rfam's summary of the family: Transfer RNA (tRNA) molecules are approximately 80 nucleotides in length. Their secondary structure includes four short double-helical elements and three loops (D, anti-codon, and T loops). The record is from RNAcentral. Lineage: Bacteria; Bacillati; Chloroflexota; Anaerolineae; Anaerolineales; Anaerolineaceae.